Molecule: unclassified non-coding RNA, 329 nt
Filed under: soil metagenome
Description: partial contains 5.8S ribosomal RNA, internal transcribed spacer 2, and large subunit ribosomal RNA
Rfam family: 5.8S ribosomal RNA (bases 1-120)
Source: RNAcentral
GAUGAAGAACGUAGCGAAAUGCGAUAAGUAAUGUGAAUUGCAGAAUUCAGUGAAUCAUCGAAUCUUUGAACGCACAUUGCGCCCCCUGGUAUUCCGGGGGGCAUGCCUGUCCGAGCGUCAUUACAACCCUCAAGCUCAGCUUGGUGUUGGGCCCCGCCGCCCCGGCGAGCCCUAAAGUCAGUGGCGGUGCCGUCCGGCUCCGAGCGUAGUAAUUCUUCUCGCUCUGGAGGUCCGGUCGUGUGCUCGCCAGCAACCCCCAAUUUUUUUCAGGUUGACCUCGGAUCAGGUAGGGAUACCCGCUGAACUUAAGCAUAUCAAUAAGCGGAGGA